CUGACAGCUGCAGGCACUCUGUCUCUCUCUCUCUCUGGGCAGAAUAACUCCACUCCCAAACUCUCAGGAAGCAAGUUCUGACAUCUGGAAUGUGACCCCGAGGUGGCUCCCAGACCACAGCAUCACCCGUGGGUCAUUAGAGCAAAGAGAAAUCAGCUGAUGCUUUGAUUGCAGUGGGGACUGCUAGGACUCAGAGAAGAAUGAUGGGUGCAGAAGAGUAAUUCUCAAAACAAAAGUAAGUUAUCGUGGCACGCCUCUGGCCUUCAGAUUGCCUAGCAUUAAGGUAGCCUACCACACUUUUUUCAAACCUCUGGGAUGUGCGUUCAUACUAAAUCUGGAUCUACCAUCU
Molecule: non-coding RNA, 349 nt
Organism: Pelodiscus sinensis (Chinese soft-shelled turtle)
Lineage: Eukaryota; Metazoa; Chordata; Testudines; Trionychidae
Source: RefSeq, a predicted model, not a curated record